AUAAAAAAAUGAACUCCGUUGAGAGACAUAUAACUAAGGAGUGUAAAGCUAAGUCGUGUUUGAUGACCGUAAAAGUGACGGUUUCGACUUCUGUUUUGAGGUAAGGAUAUCUUAACUCUCUCCGUAAUUGUUUAAUCAAACUUUGGCCUUUAGAUCACCUAGGAUCGAUUGCGAUUUUGAAUUUAACUUUGUGUAAGAUGCCGAUAGUGAUGAUUUAAUUGAUUUUGUGUAGU
This 233-nucleotide long non-coding RNA is filed under the name Carica papaya (papaya). RNAcentral describes it as "long non-coding RNA (CPAP_LNC002298)". Lineage: Eukaryota; Viridiplantae; Streptophyta; Magnoliopsida; Brassicales; Caricaceae. The record is from RNAcentral.